Long non-coding RNA from Mustela lutreola (European mink), 9834 nucleotides. RefSeq lists it as uncharacterized. The record is from RefSeq and is a predicted model, not a curated record. Lineage: Eukaryota; Metazoa; Chordata; Mammalia; Carnivora; Mustelidae. The transcript has 6 exons.
CCUGUGAACGGCUGUGUACCAUCCCACAGCCAAAGUGAGAUUGACGACUGUAUCAACGGGAAUUAAAUCUGCCACAGCCAUUGGAGUAGCUCUUAUGGACCGAAGAAACCCUUUCCCAGCCUGCAUAGGAAAAAGAACAACUCCAGUGAAUGAGAGUCUAAUGUAAGACCUCCAUCCAACUCUGGGACAGACAGUAGAAUCUCCAGAGGAACCUCAUGCUGGAUAAACCCUGAACCAAAUGUGGAAUUUUGUCCUAAUAUAAUGGGUUUGUAUUUGAUUUGCUGCACUCAACUAUACGUUCUGAGAAGAGAGAGAGAGAAAAGGACAUCUUCGGAAAGUAACAGGGUGAGAAGGAUGAUGGUUUGGAAGCAAAGCAAGGAAUCCAGACAAGUGGACUUACCGGGAAAGGCUCCUGCCAGGUUGCUCCCACAAUGGAGGGCCUUAUGAUGGCAAUGUUUAGGUUCCCGCUCUCCUGCUGCACCACCAUCUCACCCAAGGCCUUGGUAUACGUUUUCCUUAGGCAACAAGACUAGUGGUACUUCGGAUGAAGUUUUCUGCGGAGCAAGUACCGGACACGCGGCCAUGGUCAGGUUUGCUCUCUCCGUCUCCUGUCUGAGUUAGGUUUUUCCCUUGAUUCCUGCAGGGAUCCUGCCGUAGGUUCCUGUGUCAGUUUCAAUGUGGCAGAGUUGGCUUCAGAGCAAAUUUACACUUUUUACUGGGGUCAAGGGGAUUCCUGUGCCUGGUGCUGGCGGUGAGCUGGCCUCUGCAUUUCCCCCUUGACUUCUACUAAGCACCUAUUCUGGCCUCCAGUGGCCUGAUAAUAUGAAAAUUAUUCAGUCUGUCUAGGAAGCAGUGUAACCCAGCUCUGAUUUGUAUUUAAAACCGGAUAACACUAAAAGUACACAGAAUUUUCUGGGUUGUUUUGGUUUGCUGCGUAGAUGCCAUCUUAAGCCUCUACAAUUCUGACAGUAAAUGGACAAAAUCAAAAUGAGUGUUUUCCUUUUCCCUGGAGUAGAUACACUGUCUUAGUGUUAACGACGUGUUCUUCAGCACCCAGACAAGACUACUUUCCAACAUCUGACUUCCUUUCAUAUCUCUGCUAUAGCUGACAGCUGCCCACGUUUGAUCAAAAACACCUUUUUUCACAUGGCAGAUUAACUAUGCUUCUGGAGGCCAGGUAGCUGCAAGAGCAUGAUUUUGAGUAGGUACAAAUCUUUCGGGGAAAGCCUCUAGGAAUGGUGGGGUGACAAGCAAAGAGAGUGGGGAGGCUGGGGUGCGUGGGUGACUGGAAUACGAAUGAACCUCGUGUCAAAUGAGAGACAUUACACGAAAAAGCACUUUGAGGCAGUUUCCCCCAAACUUGCCUGCUCGUCAGUAAGACUUAUGUCGGGCCUAUGACAAAAGUUCAGCUCCCUGGGCAUCAUCUUAGAACCUCCAAACCAGUCUUCAGGGGCAACAGCUUGAUCACCUUGAUUUGUAGCCAGUGGAGUGGUGCUUGUUGUGGUCAGGCAAACUGAGGAAUCACCAGUAUCAAAGGACGCCACCCCACAAAUGUUAGCCUUGAACAAAUUGGGAUUAGCUCUGAGAGAGCUUUACUUUACUCCACUUCUUGGAGUAAAACUUUCAGUGGACUUGAACUUUAAAGGAUUUCAAUCCUGGACACUAGAGAUGGAAUCUGAGGGUUGAUUAGAAGGUAUGUGCAAGCCCACAUGCAAAGCAGUGGCCACAUCCCAUUCAGUCUCCUGUCCCCGAACACGGAGGUGUUUUUUGGUAUCUGUUGUCACUCCCCAGUUCUCGGUCUCACCCCACAACAUGGCAGGUCACAACUGUCCCUGCCUCUGACAACUGCCCAGGCAGAUCUACCCCCUUCCUUUGUGACCACUAACAUUCCUAAAGCCCGCUUUCAUCCAAGUCUUUUUUUGAUGAAAACAAAAUGGAAGCACCAACCAAACAAAACCACCCCCCCAUACACACACAUGCGUGACCCUCCUGCCGUGGAUCCCUAUUGCCUCUAGAAUUAAAUACAGUCUUCCCCACGGCAUUCAAAACUCUCAGGGCAGCCCCAGCCCCACUUUCCUACAAAUAACAACUGCGCUGCCCAGGGCCGCAUCCCCAGCAUGCCUCCAGCCUUCCUGCUCCCCUGGCUGCGUGACCAAAUCAUGGGGCUACGGAGAAAAACGGUGUCCCUGUAACUUAGUAGCUGGGAGAAUUCUGAAGCCUUCCUCGGCCUUUUGGAGCUUCUGUUCCUUUAUUAGCCCAGUAGCAGCAACACAUACCACCAGCCCCACAAUAUUACCGUAAGGAACCGAUGUCUGUGAAAGUGUCUUUACUCACAAUAAUUGCUCGGUGAUGAAUGAGAGCUGUCCUUCCCUUCUUAAUGCGUACUUACUAGAUUGAUUUAAGGAUGCUAACUAAAGCAGUAAAGAUUUAUGGAUCCAUUUUUCUAGUUUCGGGCUAUAGUUAUUUCCAGUUUUUAUAUAGCUACAAAAAUCUUUUCCUUCUGUCUCUCCUAAGAGGAGUUAACUUGGCCUGAAAAAGAGGGAAAGAAAGCAGCAAUCUUUCCCGGUCUGUUAUGUGCACUUUAAAAAAUAAACAUUCUACAUGAGUCAUUAUUCCGGAAAACUGGAAUUUCAUUGGUAGUUCCUCAUCCAUUUAUGCAUAGGAGCUCCUAAAGGUACCCACCCCCAACUGCAGAAGCUAGAAAUAAGAAGACAGGGAGAUGGGGAAGAAUAGUGACAUAAUUCCAUGAUAAAAUGCCUGUGAUGAUUGGGACGAGGGCCAGACACGUGCAGGUGUGAGAGCUGGAGAGGUCUGUUUUCCUAAUGCUGAUUCAUGGCCACAAUUGUCAUACCAAUAAGAAGCAUUAACUCCUAAUUGGGUCUGGCCUCAGGUUCAAAGGCUUCCAGAGGAGAGCCCUGAUGUCCGAGGAGGAAUUAACCAGGGAAGCAGAGGUGGAGGUAGUUUCUAGAAACAGAACUGUCAUAAGCCAAGGCAGAGCGGCAUGAGGGAGAGGAGUAAUGACUUCAGUGUGACCACCGCACAGACAUAAAGGGAGGGUUGGCGGAGAUGACGCUGGACAGCUGGUCCUGAAUAUAAAAUUCUGAAUUAAAUAAUUAUAUUCCUUGGGGAGCAGUAAAUGAGAGACUCGAAUUUUGUACAAAUGUCAAUUCCGGUUUGAUCAUCAAUCAUGUAGCUAUCCCUGGGUUUCCCCAGGGGACAUGGAGUGGGCGAGGAUGGCAAGCGCUGGGCACCCGAAGAGAAACCAACUCCUCUUCUGGGAGUCUCUGCAAGACUCUGUCCUGCCUCACAUCGUGCUGUCAUGUGUCAGCUGCUAGACGGGUCAACAGUGGAGGAAGGCUCUGGGAUCUCAGCAGAGUCUGCACUCAAACAGCUCUGCCCCUUUCCUGGGCACAGCAAAUAUAGACACACCACACAGACCAAGAGACAACACUGUGAGAGGGCAGCUAACCGAAAAGAAAUUGAUUCCACCCCAAAACACCCUGAGGCCUUCCACAUCCACUCUCCUGUACUGACGUGGGGCAUCAGAGUCUCUUAUCUCCAACUCUCCUGACAAGCUCUGCACUCGGAAGGUCCCUUUGCACGACUUAAGCAAGUCACCACUUAUGAGCUACGUGAGGUAACCUCCGGGUCCUUUGGAUGACUUUCAUUCUUCUUUGUCCUGGAUAUUUUUAAAUGACAGGUAAAAAUAUCUAUUCUCAGGACUGUAGGAGAUAAAAAUGUUUGCCCUGAAGGGAGUGAACUCUUGAUUUAGCUAAGCUUCAUUUUAAAGAGUCUAUCUUAAAUAGAGAUACAGUAUUACAUGAAAUUAAAAUCUGACAAAUUUCAUGGUGAAGUAGUCUAUUUUCUCAGCCGGAAUACCUUUUUACAGUUGUUGUUGUUUUUUCUAAACAAGAUAAACUUGUUAAAUUGAACAGAAGAAUGAAGACCCAGAAAACGAAAACACUUAUUCUGAGACUAGGGCCUGACUUAAGAACAAAGUGGCUCCUGUUAGUAGGCAGGAAGAGAAAAAUGCUAGUUAUUUUUCCUCCACCACAAGACAAUAAGGAAAGCGUAUCUCAGCCUCCUAGCCCAAGAGACUUGCACUUUCUGCCAGAGCUGGGAGGAUUUCCACUUACGUAGGAGUUCUUCUUCUUCUUAUUAUUAUUAAUUUUUUAAAGAUUUUAUUCAUUUAUUUGAAGAGAGAUAGGAGAACUCAAGUAGACAGAGCGGCAGGCAGAGGGAGAGGGAGAAGCAGGCUCUCUGCCAAGCAGGGAGCCCGACACAGGGCUCCAUGCCAGGACCCCGGGGAUCAUGACCUGAGCUGAAGGCAGACGCUCAACCGACUGAGCCACCCAGAUGUCCCACAUCUGAGUUCUUCUUUAUUAACCUUUGGAUCAGCUGCCAUUAAACACUCCCAAGCACAACAACUGCUUUCUAUCACUCAUCAUCACUACAAGAUGAGCACUGUUAUCACCCCCAUUUCACAAAUGAAGGAAGUGAGGCGCAGAGAGGCCAAGGAACUCACUCAAGGUCACACAGACAGGAAGCUGCAUGCAGAAGCCAGGUUGGACAGACGCAGAAGGCUUGUUCCUUCACUUUUACACUGUACACUCUACUUCCUUCAGUGACCACGCUGAGUACGGAGUGACAGAAGCAUUCCCAUGAGCCCAUUAUAAUCCUAAACUAUUUCACAAAACUCCUUGGCAUUUUUGGUGUUGUGAUGUUCAGUUAGCCACCAUAGAAUACACCAUCAGUUUCUGACAUCGCGUUCACCCAGUGCUCAUCACCACUCGUGCCCUCCUUGAUACCCACCGCCCUGUGGCAUUUAUCCAUGCCCGUCUUUCCCCAUCACCAAGCACUGGACUCCCCACGCUGGGAUGAAGGGAACAGCAGGGAUCAGACAGCGAAAGCUAGCACCUUUGCAGAGCACGCUACUUCAAGAGUGCCUUGCUUUGCUACCUCAUUAAUGGAUGCCUACAAAGAAUCAAAGAGAACCAGGAUCUGCCCACCUCCUGACCCCCUCAUGUGACCCAACUUACUCCAUGGAGUCGAUGAUUUUUUUUGGCUCCACAGGGCACGGGUAGAUGACCUCAUCGAUGUGCUUCAGGUUACAAUUUGAAAAGGCAGUGGAGAUAUGAAUGAAGGCUUCAAGCUUUGGCAUCUGACUGGCCAUGAGCAAGAGCUGCUGGGUGGCAGUGACAUUGAGUUGCACGGCGUGUCUGCAGGAGGAAAAGCAGAAGAAGUACAAUGAGGCAACUCGAUGUUCUGCUUUGCUAGAACGUCACCUACUCCAAUAAUGGGCACAAACCGCAAGGAAACUGACAUGCAUAUGUACAUGCACACACAUGCACCUGUGUGUGCCAUGAGCAGGAAGUGGGCACAUACCUCAGAUGAUCAUCGAAGCGCACGGUGGCCGCACAGUGGAAGAUAAUGUUUGUACAGGAGAGAAGCUCUUGCAUGUCCUCCUUGCUGAUAGCAAAGUCAUUAUGAUUGAGGUCCGCGUAGAUAGCUCUGAUCUUCUCAUGCACGUUUGGACAAACUUCUUUGACUUUUUGAAACAGCUAAAACAUAAAUAGAAAUCAAUAUGCAGACAGCGUCAUCACCAUCUCAUUGCUCUUGUUUUUGUUGAUGUGUCACAUCGCAAUUCGCAAAAACUGGUUUUAUCUGUAAUACCACUCAAAGAAGGCAUUUACUCAAGAGCCAUUUGUUUAACCGCCUGCAAUUUGGUCGGCUUGGUAUAAUUUCCACUCCUCUUAAUUUGAUAAACAUUCAAAAAAGUCAUUUCUAAUAACCAGUAAGGAGUGUAUUUUGAGCCUUUCCUGCAGGGUUGAAAGAAUGACAGUGAGCCGUCCAUAUUCUGCCCCUCCUCUUUUCCCCAUGUUUAUAUAUGGUGAUUGUUUCCAUUUUUGGCUGGGAAAUAGGGCUUUCAGUGCAAAAUACCAGCCUUUGCAAAUUACCAGCAAAGCCACCAGCUUUUACAAGGGAGGUCUCAUGGACGCAAAUUCGAAACAACUUAGUUAACUGGCCCAGAGGAACAGUAUUAGGUCUUAGCAGCACAAACAUAAUUAGAAAAUAACAAAUUUGGUGAAUCUGUAAUGGGUAAAACAAAUACAACUUUUAUAUAAUCUCAUUCCAAUAUCAAUGGCAGUUAUUGUCUAGUAAGAGAAUUACAUGAGCUCAUGUACGUUUUAUGGGAUAUUAAUUGAUUUCUUAAUAUUCUAACUUCUUUAUAAAGGAAAAGGAAAGAGCCUUGGCAGUUUUAGCUUUUAUUACCCUUGUUCAGAUGGAACAGUCUCUACUUUCCCCUCCACACACAAGUUCUUAGAUUCAACUGGUAUUUUCCAUUUUCUCAAAGAAUGUAAUUAAAAAAAAAUGUUCUUGGUUUUAACCUGUUUUGACAAAAAGAAAUUCUACUGUAGUAUUGGCAUGGGCUAAUAGCAGUGAGAAAAAAUAAAGCUAAAUGUUUAGGAAGGUUAGGAGCGGAGAAAAUUAGUCUGUGGUUUUUUUUGUUUGUUUGUUUGCUUUUAAGAUUUUAUUUAUUUGUCAGAGAGAGGGAGAGAGAGCGAGCACAGGCAGACAGAAGCAGAAGGAGAAGCAGGCUCCCUGCCAAGCAAGGAGCCCGAUAUGGGACUCUAUCCCAGGACACUGGGAUCAUGACCUGAGCCGAAGGCAGCUGCUUAACCAACUGAGCCACCCAGGCAUCCCUGUGGUUUUAAUCAUAGUAGAGUAGCUGAGCCUAUUCCCUUUACCCCUUCUGCCCCCAAAGACAGUUUGCAUGUCUUCCUUGAUCCUGAAUAGCAGGCUUCUUCCCUCAACUGGAGAUCUAUCCUAGGCUCUUUUAUUGGCUAAUAAGAAAUCAAUCUAAGGUAGUAAAAGAAACCAUGUCUCAUCUGAAUCAGAGAAGACCAUGUUAGAGGCCCUUGUGGGAAUCUAGUGAAGAUGAUCAGAGAAGGAGGUCAAGUCCACAUAUUGACCUGGUGAGCUACUACACUUUGAGCUACCUUUUUUUUUUUUUUUUUUUUCUCUGCAGGAGCAGCCUUGCAGUAGCAAUGGGACUAGAGUUCUGAAAAGCGUUUGGAGGUUAGGUCAACCCUCAAAGGUUUUGAGACAUUUGGGACUGAUGCGGUGGAUCCAGUGUCUGAGGGACAUUCUCAACAAAGGUCAUUCUGGCUCUUCCAGAAAGAUAUUUAUCAGCUUUUGUAAUCUGGAUAAAUCAUGAGCAAGCUAAAUAUUGGUUUUCUCCAUCAAAGCUUUUCCUUCUCAUAGUCCAUGUUAGUCAUGUGACAAAUUGGAUCUUUUUGGAUAAAUUUGUCUAAAAUUUGCAUAAUUUCCCCUGUUUUUAAUAAUUUGAUUUGUAGAAGGUUCUGUUUUGAGUCUGCAUGACAGAUUUUAUUCACAAGAAAUUUAUUUCGGGUUCUGUGGAGUCUUUGACCUGUGAUGAUUUCUGGCUACAUUAGAGUAAUACGUGGAAAAUGACUUCAGUGUCCAUCCUUCCAGCAGUGGAGUUCCUCCCACAUGAUGUAAGCUACCGUACAGAUUUUCUUUUGCCUUUGGUUUUUACGACUUUAAAAGGCAGAGAACCCCAUUACACCAUAUUAUACCUCCAGCCCACCUAUGCAAAUAUGAUCAAUGGAGAUAAUUACCAUUUUAGGAAAUAAGUGUUCUGAGCUAUAUUCUAUUUAUUGAUUAUAUUUUCCAAUGACAGGGCAUAGCUGAGUGCACAUGGUGUAAUUCUUUUUAAAGUUUAAGUUUUCUAAUCCAGAUGGGAUUUAUUAUGGUCAAUUGAAAUAAAUCGGAGAAUUGGCUGCAGCAAUUCAAACCACAGGACUAAGUGAGGGUCACAUUUUACUAUGCUCUCCAUGCCCACUAAUACGACUUGCCUCAUCUGGCAUCUCACCAUUUUGCUCCAGCCUCUAACAAAAUAAUACCUCUUAAAUGUUGCCACAUCCUAAAUAGACCGCUGAGAUUACAGCCAACCAUCAUCCAAUAGGUCAGUGCUUUUCAAAGUGUUACCCACCAAGUGAACUGGAUCGGAAUCACUAAGAUGCACUUUAAAAGUGUAUAUUUCCAGCCCCUGGCCCCACCCACUAAAGAAGAAAUGACUGGGGAACACCCAGGAGUUUGCAUUUCACACAUCAGGUUCCCUGGUCAUUUUUAACUGGUCCCAAGAUGAGAACUUCUCCAGCUGGAGUGUUAACAUGGACUAAUUGUUCAUGAACAAUAGUGUUUGGCUCAUUUCUCUUUACAGGACGUCAGUGGUUUUCAAACUGUGUAGGCAUAAGAAAGAUCUAGGAACCAAUUAAAAAUGACUUCCUUACUCUACCCUCUGAGACCUUGACUCAGUAUGUUUGGCAAGUAACCCCGGCACUUGUACAUCUUAACCAGCUCAACGGAUAGGUCUUCCAGUCCGGGUACCAUACUUGGUGAAAGAAAUAUAAUUUCAAAAAACUUGGUGAAACAUUAAUUUGGAAAAUUAAUGUUCAUUUUUUAAGUCAGGGCUUAAAUGUCCCCCUCUGGUUGGUAAACUCCUUGGUUCUUGUUUACCAUUUUAUGCUGGACAGCACCCAGUUCAUUGAAAAGACUCAAAUGUUGCUUGUUACACUGAAAUUAAUUACUGUAAGAACAGUGGUAGAACCAGGAGUGGGAGCUUGAUUCCUGAAAUUGUUCCCUGGCUCUUUUGUGUUGGUGGGAUAAAAGACAGCAGAUCACUACCACAGGUAGAAGAAACAAAGUGUCCCCUUGGGUCUCUGCAUGAUUGCAAAUGGAAGCCGAAAAGGCUCAGAGCAGAACCUUUGCUUUUGUAAUAAUGACACAACCAAAGGACAGAAGAAAUGCUGCAAAUGAGUCCUCUGUGGACACCAGCUCUCAGAAAAAUCCCUUUGUUGAUGUGAGACUUUCAUUAAGAGUAAGAAGAAAACAGAUGGAACAGACAUGAAUGAAGAAAAAAUAUAUAAUUUCAAAAAUGUCAUUGAAGGUCCACCAAUAAAGAACUUGAUAUAGUUAUUUUAGAUUCUAAGAGUUCAUCAUAUUCCUUUUCAUAAAUCUUUAUGUAACGGCAUCAGACUGAGAAGGUUAAGAGUACAGUAGCUCCUGCCAUUGAUGAAGACUCAAGGAGGGACUGAUGAAGACUCAAGGAGGGACUGCUGUGUUCCUGUUCUUGACAGAGGCAGGAUGCUUAUCUGUGGUCACUGAAAGAUCACAGCUAAGAGGCUCUCUAAACAUUUCAAGCUUGGGGUGCCUGGGUGGCUCAGUCAGUUAAACAUCCGACUCGAUUUCAGCUUUGGUCAUGAUAUUAGGGUGGUGAGAUUGAGCCCUUGAGCCCUGCUUAAGAUUCUCUCUCUCCCUCUCCCUAUGCCCCUCCUCCUCCUCACUUUCUCUAUCUCUCUCAAGUAAAUAAACUUAAAAAAAAUAAAUAUUUCAAACUGGUAACAAAACUAUACAUUUCUCUUGGGAAGUCUAGGACUGUUCUAUUGAUUUGACAUUACACAGGAAGGAUUUCCCUUCCGUAAUUUGUUUUAAACACAAGAGACCAUUCCAUAUAUGGUAAUAGUUACUGAUAACCCAGACACAGGAGAGAAACUUUACAUAUCUUAAGUGAGAAAAUUCAGCAGAAAGAAGACCAGGAAGAGAAAUUUUCUGGAUUCGAUAAACUCCUUGGGUAUGACUUUUGUAGCCAGACACUAUGAAUGCAGUUUUAUUAGAAGCAGGAAUUGGGCAAGGGGUUGGGGUAUGACAUUUAUAUUAUGCUUUUGAAACAACGUAGAGGUCCUGAACUUGGAUUUCUAUAACUAUCUUGUUAUCCACAUGACUUCACUUUGUUUUUUUGUUUUUUUU